GACGAACGCUGGCGGCGUGCCUAAUACAUGCAAGUUGAGCGCUGAAGGUUGGUACUUGUACCGACUGGAUGAGCAGCGAACGGGUGAGUAACGCGUGGGGAAUCUGCCUUUGAGCGGGGGACAACAUUUGGAAACGAAUGCUAAUACCGCAUAAAAACUUUAAACACAAGUUUUAAGUUUGAAAGAUGCAAUUGCAUCACUCAAAGAUGAUCCCGCGUUGUAUUAGCUAGUUGGUGAGGUAAAGGCUCACCAAGGCGAUGAUACAUAGCCGACCUGAGAGGGUGAUCGGCCACAUUGGGACUGAGACACGGCCCAAACUCCUACGGGAGGCAGCAGUAGGGAAUCUUCGGCAAUGGACGAAAAUCUGACCGAGCAACGCCGCGUGAGUGAAGAAGGUUUUCGGAUCGUAAAACUCUGUUGGUAGAGAAGAACGUUGGUGAGAGUGGAAAGCUCAUCAAGUGACGGUAACUACCCAGAAAGGGACGGCUAACUACGUG
This 497-nucleotide ribosomal RNA is filed under the name uncultured bacterium. Its description in RNAcentral is "partial 16S ribosomal RNA". It matches the Rfam family "Bacterial small subunit ribosomal RNA", at positions 28 to 507 of the family's 1533-position model. The record is from RNAcentral.